RNAcentral lists this long non-coding RNA (8992 nucleotides) under Gossypium barbadense (sea-island cotton). Its description in RNAcentral is "long non-coding RNA (GBAR_LNC021075)". Lineage: Eukaryota; Viridiplantae; Streptophyta; Magnoliopsida; Malvales; Malvaceae. The record is from RNAcentral.
AAAUAGUUGAAGUAUAUAUUUCCGGAAUUCAUGGCUUACAACAAUCAGGAAUGAAUUAACAUAUGAAAUGAUUAAUUCCUUUUUUUCACAUAAUUUUAUAGAAAAAAGGGAGAAGUUAAUGAUGUGCGUUUUCUAGUUGUGGUCAAUGAAAGAUGGGCGUUGUAUAAUGACUUCGACAUCGUUUUAGGUGUGAACAUCCUCUGUCAUAACCGUUUGAUGGUGGUGGGAGGCAAUUACCGCCUCCUAGUUUGCAUGGAACUUGAAGAUUUUUUCCCAGUCCCGGGUAGCUGAUUGGUGUCGCGUUUGCACCCUCUUCCAUCACCAUUGAGCUUAUUACCAAUGAACAAAUCCACAACACCAUGAUCUUCUUCUCCACUCCCAUUUUGUUCCAAGAAAUAUACAAUUAUUUAUUUAAUUAGAACUUUACACUAUCUUUCAAUCAAAAGUUUGGGUUUUUUAUCGCUUCAUGGUACUUGUAUAUUUAGUAAAAUGUUUAACCAUAAAUACAAGAUUUAAGCAUUUUUUAAGACAGUUUUAGUGAAUAAGAUGAUGAGUUCAUAACAGAAUUCCCUAGUCUCUUUCAACGCUAUUCAUCCUUUCCAAAAUUAUACAUGCAAUACUAGAUAAAAAAAUGACAUGUUAAAUGUCAGUUUUCUUUAUCAACUACCAAUUUGAGUAAUAUUUUUCAAUGAAAAUAUAAGGAAAUCUCCUCCCUUUCUUUUUCAACAAACUAUUACUAUCCCGUACAACUUUAAAAUCAGUUAUUUGACUAAUGGUAAAUGUACAAUUUUAUUUGAAAUAAUAAGUUAUUCACAUUUUCGUUGUUCUUAUUUCCUAAAGCAUGUGGUAAUCUGAUUGUGUCCGGAUUAAAUUUGGGUUAUAGUUUUAGGAGCUUACUAUUAUUAUUUUGUUUAUGCUAACUUUAGUUUUUAUUAUUUCUUCUAUUUUGUUUAUUAUUAGAAAUUCUAUCGUAUGCGUAUACUUGUGGAAAUUACAUAUUUACAAUAUGAAUGUUUUUAAAACUAACAAACAAUAAAUAAUGAAAUGUAUGGUUCAAAACUAAAAAUAAUAACAAACUUUAUGAGAGAAAACAUUUUGUGCUACAAAUCAAUUUUUUAGAAGUUUACUCAAGAAAUAUUAUUGAUGUAGUGGUAAAGAAUUUGUUUGUAGAUCCAUUAAACACAAGUACCAAUCCCCAAACAUGGUAAAUUUAGUUCUUUUAACUAAAAACUAUAUAAAUGUAUGAAAAUACAAAAAAGGCAUCAGAAUGAUAAUAAUAGUCAUUUAACUAAAUUGUUUAUAAGUAAUUCCCUAAGUUGUGACAGACCACAGCCCAACGUGUUGAUGUGUUGGCUAAAAACCACGCAAAUAAAAUAUGUAGAGUUAAGUGCGGUUUCUGCAGGUGAACAUGUCAACCUGCAAUAUAGUUUUCUUUACAAUUAAACACUUAUAAAGUAUUUCGAGGAUCGUAUCCAAGGGAUUAUUGAUUAAAGAAAAUGGCUAUUAAAUUAAUUACAGAAAUUAAGUACUAAUCUAGUCGAGUUAUAAAUUAGUAGUAUAAAUCCAAAACAAUAAUAAAAUUAACUAAUUAUUUUAACCGAAAACUAAAAGUAACCCUAAGUUAAUUAUUUGUUUCUCCUAUUCCUAGUUUCGACAACGUGAUCCUUCACAGCCAAGAAUCAAUUUUAACCCUAAUUAUUAAUUAAGUAGACAAGGACCUUUAAUUAAGUAUGUACUAACCUUAGCUAAGAAUACCUUCCCGGUUUCAUCUUCAUUAAGAAUUACAACCUAAGAUUCCUUUUUGGUCUUACCUAAGCAUACGGAUACCCUUUUGUUCUCACUGCUUGGUACAAGUUCUACUCAAUUGGAUACCCUCUCAGUCUCACUUGUCUAGAUCUUCUACUAUAGGUGUCACUUCCUAGUAUAUUAAGUACUUUCGAAUAAAAACUCAAUUUUAGGUUACUAUUUAUUUAAUCAAUUAAUUAAUGAAAUAAUCAAGUCAUUCAAAAUAAGUAUGGAGCCCAAAAUACAUUCCAAUAAUUAUAUAUACAUUCUAUUAAUAAAACUAUCAAAUGCAAUAUAAAUGAAAGAAUAAAGGGACGAGAAUGCUCGUUAAUUAAUCAUUGAAAUGGCACUAUUUCAAAACAUCAUUUGCUCGCGAUCGACUAACUUUGAGAGACAAGCAUGUAUUGGUCCAUCAAUUAAUUAGUUAGAGGCUAAGAGGUAAUAGCUGGUAAUUAAUAGCUAACUUGAUAAAACCUGAGUUCUGAAGUUAAUUAGGAACACUGAAAUGAAUUAAUCUUAUGCCUGCUUAAUUGAAUUUAAUUUAGAUUGUUAAAAUUGAUUGUCUUUAAUUUUUGUUAAUUUAUGUUUUUUUGAUUGAUUGCCUUUGAUUUAGUUUUUGGUAAUAUAAUAUUAGAUUACUACUAUUUAGCCUGGUUAGUGUAGCAUAUUAGUCUUGGUUCAAUUCAACCUCCCUUGGGUACGAUCCUCGGAAUAGAUCCCGAAGUGUUUCCUUGUAACAUUAUUCUAUAUUACAAUUUAACUCGUAUACUUGUUGACACACUACAUUAUUAAUUGGCUCUUUAGCUGUUGUAUUUGAAACCCAGACGUUCGCAACUCUGGUGGCAGUCAUUUGGCCAAAUGUUGACAGUUGGACAUGAAGAGUUUAAGAUGUACCCAUCAGUUGCAGGCUCCUUCGUGCGACCCAUGAAACUAGGGCAUGGGAACACCUAUAUCCAACAAACUCAUUGAAGUUAAUAAGACCUCCAUUGUUCGCACCGCUUUACUUAAAACUAUUUCUAUGUCACUUUUUCAUGAACGUAAGACAACUUAUAUGAAUUAGAAAAAAUAUUAAUAAGACCUUUGCUCAAAUUUUUAAAAAAAUAGUUGAAGUAUAUAUUUCCGGAAUUCAUGGCUUACAACAAUCAGGAAUGAAUUAACAUAUGAAAUGAUUAAUUCCUUUUUUUCACAUAAUUUUAUAGAAAAAAGGGAGAAGUUAAUGAUGUGCAUUUUCUAGUUGUGGUCAAUGAAAGAUGGGCGUUGUAUAAUGACUUCGACAUCGUUUUAGGUGAGAACAUCCUCUGUCAUAACCGUUUGAUGGUGGUGGGAGGCAAUUACCGCCUCCUAGUUUGCAUGGAACUUGAAGAUUUUUUCCCAGUCCCGGGUAGCUAAUUGGUGUCGCGUUUGCACCCUCUUCCAUCACCAUUGAGCUUAUUACCAAUGAACAAAUCCACAACACCAUGAUCUUCUUCUCCACUCCCAUUUUGUUCCAAGAAAUAUACAAUUAUUUAUUUAAUUAGAACUUUACACUAUCUUUCAAUCAAAAGUUUGGGUUUUUUAUCGCUUCAUGGUACUUGUAUAUUUAGUAAAAUGUUUAACCAUAAAUACAAGAUUUAAGCAUUUUUUAAGACAUUUUUAGUAAAUAAGAUGAUGAGUUCAUAACAGAAUUCCCUAGUCUCUUUCAACGCUAUUCAUCCUUUCCAAAAUUAUACAUGCAAUACUAGAUAAAAAAAUGACAUGUUAAAUGUCAGUUUUCUUUAUCAACUACCAAUUUGAGUAAUAUUUUUCAAUGAAAAUAUAAGGAAAUCUCCUCCCUUUCUUUUUCUACAAACUAUUACUAUCCCGUACAACAUUAAAAUCAGUUAUUUGACUAAAGGUAAAUGUACAAUUUUAUUUGAAAUAAUAAGUUAUCCACAUUUUCGUUGUUCUAAUUUCCUAAAGCAUGUGGUAAUCCGAUUGUGUCCGAUUGUGUCCGGGUUAAAUUUGGGUUAUAGUUUUAGGAGCUUACUAUUAUUAUUUUGUUUAUGCUAACUUUAGUUUUUAUUAUUUCUUCUAUUUUGUUUAUUAUUAUAAAUUCUAUCGUAUGCGUAUACUUGUGGAAAUUACAUAUUUACAAUAUGAAUGUUUUUAAAACUAACAAACAAUAAAUAAUGAAAUGUAUGGUUCAAAACUAAAAAUAAUAACAAACUUUAUGAGAGAAAACAUUUUGUGUUAAAAAUCAAUUUUUUUGAAGUUUACUCAAGAAAUAUUAUUGAUGUAGUGGUAAAGAAUUUAUCUGUAGAUCCAUUAAACACAAGUACCAAUCCCCAAACAUGGUAAAUUUAUUUCUUUUAACUAAAAACUAUAUAAAUGUAUGAAAAUACGAAAAAGGCAUCAGAAUGAUAAUAAUAGUCAUUUAACUAAAUGGUUUAUAAGUAAUUCCCUAAGUUGUGACAGACCACAGCCCAACGUGUGGAUGUGUUGGCUAAAAACCACGCAAAUAAAAUAUGUAGAGUUAAGUGCGGUUUCUGCAGGUGAACAUGUCAACUUGCAAUAUAGUUUUCUUUACAAUGAAACACUUAUAAAGUAUUUCGAGGAUCGUACCCAAGGGAUUAUUGAUUAAAGAAAAUGGCUAUUAAAUUAAUUACAGAAAUUAAGUACUAAUCUAGUCGAGUUAUAAAUUAGUCGUAUAAAUCCAAAACAAUAAUAAAAUUAACUAAUUAUUUUAACCGAAAACUAAAAGUAACCCUAAGUUAAUUAUUUCUUUCUCCUAUUCCUAGUUUCGACAACGUGAGCCUUCUCAGCCAAGAAUCAAUUUUAACCCUAAUUAUUAAUUAAGUAGACAAGGACCUUUAAUUAAGUAUGUACUAACCUUAGCUAAGAAUACCUUCCCGGUUUCAUCUUCAUUAAGAAUUACAACCUAAGAUUCCUUUUUGGUCUUACCUAAGCAUACGGAUACCCUUUUGUUCUCACUGCUUGGUACAAGUUCUACUCAAUAGGAUACCCUCUCAGUCUCACUUGUCUAGAUCAUCUACUAUAGGUGUCACUUCCUAGUAUAUUAAGUACUUUCGAAUAAAAACUAAAUUUUAGGCUACUAUUUAUUUAAUCAAUUAAUUACUGAAAUAAUCAAGUCAUUCAAAAUAAGUAUGAAGCCCAAAAUACAUUCCAAUAAUUAUAUAAACAUUCUAUUAAUAAAACUAUCAAAUACAAUAUAAAUGAAAGAAUAAAGGGACGAGAAUGCUCGUUAAUUAAUCAUUGAAAUGGCAAUAUUUCAAAACAUCCUUUGCUCGCGAUCGACUAACUUUGAGAGAGAAGCAUGUAUUGGCCCAUCAAUUAAUUAGUUAGAGGCUAAGAGGUAAUAGCUGGUAAUUAAUAGCUAACUUGAUAAAACCUGAGUUCUGAAGUUAAUUAGGAACACUGAAAUGAAUUAAUCUUAUGCCUGCUUAAUUUAAUUUAACUUCGAUUGUUAAAAUUGAUUGUCUUUAAUUUUUGUUAAUUUAUGUUUUUUUGAUUGAUUGCCUUUGAUUUAGUUUUUGGUAAUAUAAUAUUAGAUUACUACUAUUUAGCCUGGUUAGUGUAGAAUAUUAGUCUUGGUUCAAUUCAACCUCCUUUGGGUACGAUCCUCGGAAUAGAUCCCGAAGUGUUUCCUUGUAACAUUAUUCUAUAUUACAAUUUAACUCGUAUACUUGUUGACACACUACAUUAUUAAUUGGCUCUUUAGCUACGGUAUUUUCAACCCAGACAUUCGCACAUCUGGUGGCAGUCAUUUGGCCAAAUGUUGACAAUUGGACAUGAAGAGUUUAAGAUGUACACAUCAGUUGCAGGCUCCUUCGUGCGACCCAUGAAACUAGGGCAUGGGAACACCUAUAUCCAACAAACUCAUUGAAGUUAAUAAGACCUUCAUUGUUCACACCGCUUUACUUAAAACUAUUUCAAUGUCACUUUUUUAAGAACGUAAGACAACUUAUAUGAAUUAGAGAAAAUAUUAAUAAGACCUUUGCUCAAAUUUUUAAAAAAAUAGUUGAAGUAUAUAUUUCCGAAAUUCAUGGCUUACAACAAUCAGGAAUGAAUUAACUUAUGAAAUGAUUAAUUCCUUUUUUUUCUCAUAAUUUUAUAGAAAAAAGGGAGAAGUUAAUGAUGUGCGUUUUCUAGUUGUGGUCAAUGAAAGAUGGGCGUUGUAUAAUGACUUCGACAUCGUUUUAGGUGUGAACAUCCUCUGUCAUAACUGUUUGAUGGUGGUGGGAGGCAAUUACCGCCUCCUAGUUUGCAUGGAACUUGAAGAUUUUUUCCCAGUCCCGGGUAGCUGAUUGGUGUCGCGUUUGCACCCUCUUCCAUCACCAUUGAGCUUAUUACCAAUGAACAAAUCCACAACACCAUGAUCUUCUUCUCCACUCCCAUUUUGUUCCAAGAAAUAUACAAUUAUUUAUUUAAUUAGAACUUUACACUAUCUUUCAAUCAAAAGUUUGGGUUUUUUAUCGCUUCAUGGUACUUGUAUAUUUAGUAAAAUGUUUAACCAUAAAUACAAGAUUUAAGCAUUUUUUAAGACAGUUUUAGUAAAUAAGAUGAUGAGUUCAUAACAGAAUUCCCUAGUCUCUUUCAACGCUAUUCAUCCUUUCCAAAAUUAUACAUGCAAUACUAGAUAAAAAAUGACUUGUUAAAUGUCAGUUUUCUUUAUAAACUACCAAUUUGAAUAAUAUUUUUCAAUGAAAAUAUAAGGAAAUCUCCUCCCUUUCUUUUUCUACAAACUAUUACUAUCCCGUACAACUUUAAAAUCAUUUAUUUGACUAAUGGAAAAUCAACAAUUUUAUUUGAAAUAAUAAGUUAUCCACAUUUUCGUUGUUCUUAUUUCCUAAAGCAUGUGGUAAUCCGAUUGUGUCCGGGUGAAAUUUGGGUUAUAGUUUUAGGAGCUUACUAUUAUUAUUUUCUUUAUGCUAACUUUUGUUUUUAUUAUUUCUUCUAUUUUGUUUAUUAUUAGAAAUUCUAUCGUAUGCGUAUACUUGUGGAAAUUACAUAUUUACAAUAUGAAUGUUUUUAAAACUAACAAACAAUAAAUAAUGAAAUGUAUGGUUCAAAACUAAAAAUAAUAACAAACUUUGUGAGAGAAAACAUUUUGUGCUAAAAAUCAAUUUUUUAGAAGUUUACUCAAGAAAUAUUAUUGAUGUAGUGGUAAAGAAUUUGUUUGUAGAUCCAUUAAACACAAGUUCCAAUCCCCAAACAUGGUAAAUUUAGUUCUUUUAACUAAAAACUAUAUAAAUCUAUGAAAGUACAAAAAGGGCAUCAAAAUGAUAAUAAUAGUCAUCUAACUAAAUGGUUUAUUAGUAAUUCCCUAAGUUGUGACAGACCACAGCCCAACGUGUGAAUGUGUUGGCUAAAAAUCACGCAAAUAAAAUAUGUAGAGUUAACUGCGGUUUCUGCAGGUGAACAUGUCAACUUGCAAUAUUGUUUUCUUUGCAAUGAAACACUUAUAAAGUAUUUCGAGGAUCGUACCCAAGGGAUUAUUGAUUAAAGAAAAUGGCUAUUAAAUUAAUUACAGAAAUUAAGUACUAAUCUAGUCGAGUUACAAAUUAGUAGUAUAAAUCCAAAACAAUAAUAAAAUUAACUAAUUAUUUUAACCGAAAACUAAAUGUAACCGUAAAUUAAUUAUUUGUUUCUCCUAUUCCUAGUUUCGACAACGUGAGCCUUCUCAGCCAAGAAUCAAUUCUAACCCUAAUUAUUAAUUAAGUACACAAGAACCUUGAAUUAAGAAUGUACUAACCUUAGCGAAGAAUACCUUCCCGGUUUCAUCUUCAUUAAGAAUUACAACCUAAGAUUCCUUUUCGGUCUUACCUAAGCAUACGUAUACCCUUUUGUUCUCACAGCUUGGUACAAGUUCUACUCAAUAGGAUACCCUCUCAGUCUCACUUGUCUAGAUCUUCUACUAUAGGUGUCACUUCCUAGUAUAUUAAGUACUUUCGAAUAAAAACUCAAUUUUAGGUUACUAUUAAUUUAAUCAAUUAAUUAAUGAAAUAAUCAAGUCAUUCAAAAAAAGUAAGAAGCCCAAAAUACAUUCCAAUAAUUAUAUAAACAUUCUAUUAAUAAAACUAUCAAAUGCAAUAUAAAUGAAAGAAUAAAGGGACGAGAAUGCUCGUUAAUUAAUCAUUGAAAUGGCACUAUUUCAAAACAUCCUUUGCUCGCGAUCGACUAACUUUGAGAGACAAGCAUGUAUUGGUCCAUUAAUUAAUUAGUUAGAGGCUAAGAGGUAAUAGCUGGUAAUUAAUAGCUAACUUGAUAAAACCUGAGUUCUGAAGUUAAUUAGGAACACUGAAAUGAAUUAAUCUUAUGCCUGCUUAAUUGAAUUUAACUUCGAUUGUUAAAAUUGAUUGUCUUUAAUUUUUGUUAAUUUAUGUUUUUUUGAUUGAUUGCCUUUGAUUUAGUUUUUGGUAAUAUAAUAUUAGAUUACUACUAUUUAGCCUUGUUAGUGUAGAAUAUUAGUCUUGGUUCAAUUCAACCUCCCUUGGGUACGAUCCUCGGAAUAGAUCCUGAAGUGUUUCCUUGUAACAUUAUUCUAUAUUACAAUUUAACUCGUAUACUUGUUGACACACUACAUUAUUAAUUGGCUCUUUAGCUGCGGUAUUUUCAACCCAGACAUUCGCACAUCUGGUGGCAGUCAUUUGGCCAAAUGUUGACAAUUGGACAUGAAGAGUUUAAGAUGUACACAUCAGUUGCAGGCUCCUUUAUGCGACCCAUGAAACUAGGGCAUGGGAACACCUAUAUCCAACAAACUCAUUGAAGUUAAUAAGACCUCCAUUGUUCGCACCGCUUUACUUAAAACUAUUUCUAUGUCACUUUUUUAAGAAUGUAAGACAACUUAUAUGAAUUAGAGAAAAUAUUAAUAAGACCUUUGCUCAAAUUUUUAAAAAAAUAGUUGAAGUAUAUAUUUCCGGAAUUCAUGGCUUACAACAAUCAGGAAUGAAUUAACAGAUGAAAUGAUUAAUUCCUUUUUUUUCACAUAAUUUUAUAGAAAAAAGGGAGAAGUUAAUGCUGUGCAUUUUCUAGUUUUGGUCAAUGAAAGAUGGGCGCUGUAUAGUGACUUCGACAUCGUUUUUGGUGUGAACAUCCUCUGUCAUAACCGUUUGAUGGUUGUGGGAGGCAAUUACCGCCUCCUGGUUUGCAUGGAACUUGAAGAUUUUUUCCCAGUCCCGGGUAGCUGAUUGGUGUCGCGUUUGCACCCUCUUCCAUCACCAUUGAGCUU